This 72-nucleotide transfer RNA is filed under the name Camelus bactrianus (Bactrian camel). It matches the Rfam family "tRNA". From Rfam's summary of the family: Transfer RNA (tRNA) molecules are approximately 80 nucleotides in length. Their secondary structure includes four short double-helical elements and three loops (D, anti-codon, and T loops). Further hydrogen bonds mediate the characteristic L-shaped molecular structure. tRNAs have two regions of fundamental functional importance: the anti-codon, which is responsible for specific mRNA codon recognition, and the 3' end, to which the tRNAs corresponding amino acid is attached (by aminoacyl-tRNA synthetases). tRNAs cope with the degeneracy of the genetic code in two manners: having more than one tRNA (with a specific anti-codon) for a particular amino acid; and 'wobble' base-pairing, i.e. permitting non-standard base-pairing at the 3rd anti-codon position. RNAcentral also lists the same sequence under 2 other names. The record is from Rfam by way of RNAcentral. Lineage: Eukaryota; Metazoa; Chordata; Mammalia; Artiodactyla; Camelidae.
GUGGGUAUAGCUCAAUGGUAGAGUGCACACUUAGUAUGCAUGAGGUCCUGGGUUCAAUCCCCAGUAACUCCA